CUAGAAUUCUUUCCAGUGAGGAUGAAGCUACACGCUACAGAAGAAUGAGCACUGGACUUGGAGUCAGGAA
RNAcentral lists this microRNA precursor (70 nucleotides) under Pteropus alecto (black flying fox). RNAcentral describes it as "microRNA pal-mir-422c precursor". Its record names the gene pal-mir-422c. The record is from miRBase by way of RNAcentral. Lineage: Eukaryota; Metazoa; Chordata; Mammalia; Chiroptera; Pteropodidae.